UGUGGUGUAGCUCAGCUGGUAGAGCAAGUGGCUGUUAACCACUGGGUCGGGGGUUCGAACCCCUCCACCACAGCCA
This 76-nucleotide transfer RNA is filed under the name Bdellovibrionales bacterium. Its description in RNAcentral is "tRNA-Asn". It matches the Rfam family "tRNA". Rfam says of the family: Transfer RNA (tRNA) molecules are approximately 80 nucleotides in length. Lineage: Bacteria; Pseudomonadati; Bdellovibrionota; Bdellovibrionia; Bdellovibrionales. RNAcentral also lists the same sequence under 1 other name. The record is from RNAcentral.